Long non-coding RNA from Dreissena polymorpha, 4064 nucleotides. RefSeq lists it as uncharacterized. Lineage: Eukaryota; Metazoa; Mollusca; Bivalvia; Myida; Dreissenidae. The record is from RefSeq and is a predicted model, not a curated record. The transcript has 3 exons.
CCUAAUCUCCUUGUGAACACUCUUGACAUAACAUGGAUUGCCUAAUCUUCUUGUGAACACUCUUGAUAUAACAUGGAUUGCCCAAUCUCCUUGUGAACACUCUUGACAUAACAUGGAUUGCAUAAUCUCCUUGUGAACACUCUUGACAUAACAUGGAUUGCCUAAUCUUCUUGUGAACACUCUUGACAUAACAUGGAUUGCCCAAUCUCCUUGUGAACACUCUUGACAUAACAUGGAUUGCAUAAUCUCCUUGUGAACACUCUUGACAUAACAUGGAUUGCCUAAUCUCCUUGUGAACACUCUUGACAUAACAUGGAUUGCCUAAUCUUCUUGUGAACACUCUUUACAUAACAUGGAUUGCAUAAUCUCCUUGUGAACACUCUUGACAUAACAUGGAUUGCCUAAUCUCCUUGUGAACACUCUUGACAUAACAUGGAUUGCCUAAUCUUCUUGUGAACACUCUUGACAUAACAUGGAUUGCCUAAUCUCCUUGUGAACACUCUUGACAUAACAUGGAUUGCAUAAUCUCCUUGUGAACACUCUUGACAUAACAUGGAUUGCCUAAUCUCCUUGUGAACACUCUUGACAUAACAUGGAUUGCCUAAUCUCCUUGUGAACACUCUUGACAUAACAUGGAUUGCCUAAUCUCCUUGUGAACACUCUUGACAUAACAUGGAUUGCCUAAUCUCCUUGUGAACACUCUUGACAUAACAUGGAUUGCCUAAUCUUCUUGUGAACACUCUUGACAUAACAUGGAUUGCCUAAUCUCCUUGUGAACACUCUUGACAUAACAUGGAUUGCCCAAUCUCCUUGUGAACACUCUUGACAUAACAUGGAUUGCAUAAUCUCCUUGUGAACACUCUUGACAUAACAUGGAUUGCCUAAUCUCCUUGUGAACACUCUUGACAUAACAUGGAUUGCCUAAUCUCCUUGUGAACACUCUUGACAUAACAUGGAUUGCCUAAUCUCCUUGUGAACACUCUUGACAUAACAUGGAUUGCCUAAUCUCCUUGUGAACACUCUUGACAUAACAUGGAUUGCCUAAUCUCCUUGUGAACACUCUUGACAUAACAUGGAUUGCCUAAUCUCCUUGUGAACACUCUUGACAUAACAUGGAUUGCCUAAUCUCCUUGUGAACACUCUUGACAUAACAUGGAUUGCCUAAUCUCCUUGUGAACACUCUUGACAUAACAUGGAUUGCCUAAUCUCCUUGUGAACACUCUUGACAUAACAUGGAUUGCCUAAUCUCCUUGUGAACACUCUUGACAUAACAUGGAUUGCCUAAUCGCCUUGUGAACACUCUUGACAUAACAUGGAAUGUCUAAUCUCCUUGUGAACACUCUUGACAUAACAUGGAUUGCCUAAUCUCCUUGUGAACACUCUUGACAUAACAUGGAUUGCCUAAUCUCCUUGUGAACACUCUUGACAUAACAUGGAUUGCCUAAUCUCCUUGUGAACACUCUUGACAUAACAUGGAUUGCCUAAUCUCCUUGUGAACACUCUUGACAUAACAUGGAUUGCCUAAUCUCCUUGUGAACACUCUUGACAUAACAUGGAAUGUCUAAUCUCCUUGUGAACACUCUUGACAUAAUGUGUCACAUAGGUUAAAAAACUAUGUCAAAUUAAAGAAAGAAAAGAUUUGAUUUUCAAAUACCUUUAACAUGCGGCUUUAAAGUGCAAUAUGCUAAAAUGACGUCAUCGGAUGUCAAGCCUAAGGCGGGUUUGUACAACACCACAACUAAAUACAUUAAUAAAAUAAGUGACAAAUUCAGGUAAUCUGGUGGGCAUAUAUUUCUUAUUAUAUAUCUCUUUUCUUUUGCCAAAACAAAAUAUUUUAAUUGUAACAUGCUGAUUUUUUUAUUUCAAAUAAUUUUAGUUGCACUAUUUGGUCGGUAAAGAUAGAAAUAAACAUUCAAGCUUUGUAGUUAAACAUUGUGUACCUUGAUUGUUGCUUCCUCUUCAAUUGCACUACUACUUUUGUGUGCUACAGUUGUUUGGUGCCUUGUCUGAUAAUUGUUUUAAAUGAUAUAUCAGCUGAAUUUGAAACUUGGUCUUGUGGGGUAAAACACAGGUCACUAUGUAGAUUAAAGACAAAGCUUGUGAACACUCUGGAGGCCAUUAUUAUUGACCAAUGAUCUCAGGGGACUUCAAAACAGGGUCACAUUUAGUAAAAAACUAGGUCAAUAGGUCAAAUUAAAAAAAAACUAAAAAAUUAAGGCCACAUUUAUUGCACAAUUUUCAUGAACCAAUUAUUUCUCAGAUACAAACUGAGUCACGUGGUGUCAAACACAAGGUUGUUAGGGUAAAUGCACAUGGCAGCCAGUUAACCUACCCACACUUGUACUGUGUAACCUUGUUUACCAGUGCACAUAUUUAUGCCAGUAACUGCCCAAGUUGAAUAAGAGGUAGAUUAAAAAUGGCAGUAGAAUGAUUUCAUGACCAAUUCCUUCACAAGUUAUGUGGCACACCUGUGAUUCUCAACUUUGUAGUCCAGCACUUUCCCAACCGAGGUAUAUGGCCCGCUUGUCACAUUUAUUACCCAAUCUUCAUGACAUGUGGACAAAUCAAUAGUCCAAAUGGUUUGAAACUUAGUCAUGUGUGGGUUAAAAAACUAGGCCUUUAGGACACAUUUAAGAAACAUUUUGUGAACACUUUAGGCCAGAUGUAUUGCCCAAUCUUCAUGAAACUUAGUCAGAAAAUAUAUCAAGUGAUAUCUCCAAUGAGUUCCAAACUAGGUCACAUGGGAUAAAAAAAAUAUGAUGAAAACAUUUUGUCCCAAUCAAAGCUAAGAUCAUUUCAAAAGUGGGUUAAAUUUUGAAACAAAAAGAUCAAAAAGUCAAAUUUAAAAAAAGCUUUUUAACACUAGAAAUCACAUUUAUUUGCCCAAUCUUCUUGUUACUUGCUCUAAACAUUUGUUCUAAUGAUUUCUCUGACAAAUAAAAUAUUGUCCAUUUUAAUAUACUGGCAAUUCGGCGCAACAGUUUUCUUUAUGUUGCUACGGUAAACUAUGCCAACCUAAUGUUGAAAAUUGCCAAGAGAAUUACAGAAAUUUGUCUGGUCUGUGUUUGAAAAUGAUUGUGGUUUGUUUAAAAAGCAAAACAUGGCCACUAGGUGUUAGGGCAGUUUUCCUUGUAAGUCAAUUGUGAAAUCUUGUGACCUGUACCUGCACAGAACAGUUUAGUUCAUUUGGGUCUCAGGUGAGCGUUUUAUAACCUCUAAAUCUAAAUACAUGUUUGUGAUAUCAUAGAAUAUUUUAGUGUUAUAUUUUAAAUGCAUAUUUGGAAAAGGUAAAAGUAACAAAGUAUCUUCUUAUGUUUAUUCAAGUUUUAUUCUAAACCCUUUGUUUGAAAUAUAUUGUUUUAACAUUUUUUUUAAACAAAUUAUCCAUUAGUUUGUAAUUGUUUGUUAUACGUCAAAAUGUUUUAAAUAAGCUUAUGGAAAUUAAAUAAUUUAUUUGUAUACCAUUAUUUUCCUAUGUUGAAUAUAUUCAGCUGUUGUCUAAUUUUCCCAAUAAAAAUAUUUAUACAUUGGCUGUGUUUAUACAAUUGUUGAUAGAAAUAAUGAUGCACCUUAUGCAAUGACUUACGUUCCCAAAAGUAAUAGUCGAAUCCUACCAAUUGUCCGCAAUAAACAUUUACAUCAAAAUAAUGAUAAUGAAGUCAAAAAGAAUUAUAAAAGAACCAAUAAUAGUAGUUGAUUGUAGUCUGUAUUUAAAAAUGAUAAACUAGCUGAUAUAUCCAUCUGCAUAACAGAAUAAACCUUAAUAUAAAUAUUUUACUUAAAAUAAAAACAUUAGAUGAAACCACUGUAAUAGGUAUUUAGACUACUGUAAAUGUUAUCAGUACAUCAGACAUGAUGCAUACUAAAGACAUUUGUUUAUGGGAACCUUUUAAAUGCGUCUGUGUUGUUAAUGCAGCUUUUGUUACUACUCUAUUUAUUUCAUAAGGUUUAUGUUGACAUUGGCACUAUUUCAAAGUAAAAGUUCUACCAGUAUUCCUAUGUCACAAGUAUUUAGAUAAAACAUAACCAAUGGUUAUCAUGACAAAGAUAUAAAAGCAUGAAUU